GGGCGGUUAGCUCAGUUGGUAGAGCGCGUCGUUGACGUCGAUGAGGUCAGAGGUUCGAACCCUCUACCGCCCACAA
RNAcentral lists this transfer RNA (76 nucleotides) under Candidatus Tayloriibacteriota bacterium. RNAcentral's name for it is "tRNA-Val". It matches the Rfam family "tRNA". From Rfam's summary of the family: Transfer RNA (tRNA) molecules are approximately 80 nucleotides in length. Their secondary structure includes four short double-helical elements and three loops (D, anti-codon, and T loops). The record is from RNAcentral. Lineage: Bacteria; Candidatus Tayloriibacteriota.